RNAcentral lists this ribosomal RNA (876 nucleotides) under Triticum aestivum (bread wheat). RNAcentral's name for it is "partial small subunit ribosomal RNA". The record is from RNAcentral. Lineage: Eukaryota; Viridiplantae; Streptophyta; Magnoliopsida; Poales; Poaceae.
AUGUCAUGUAUCAAGGCUGCUGGCUGCGACCCGGCCCGGCCAUGCAAAGCGUCAAUGGUGCAAGAGCACUUCAAGGCUCGCCCCGACAACACCCUCCUCGCCACGUUCCCAAAGUGCGGCACCACCUGGCUCAAGGCCCUUGCCUUCACCGUUACAAACCGCUUCGACCACGCCGCCACCAGUGACACCCACCCGCUGCUCACCCGCCACCCUCAGGAUCUCGUGCCAUUCCUUGAGAUGCCCUACCGCCAGCUCCACCCUAUCGCCGACCUUGAGAAGCUCGCCUCCCCGAGGCUCCUCGCCACCCACAUGCCGAUCACACUGCUGCCUCCGUGCGUGUCCAAGCUCGGUUGCCGUGUUGUGUACCUGUUCCGCGAUCCCAAGGAUGUGUUCGUGUCCCUAUGGCAGUUUAUCGGCAAGGUACACACGGAGUACACCAUUGAUAGAGCAUUUGAUUCGUUUUCCGAGGGGCUAUCCCCGUAUGGGCCUAUCUGGAAGCACAACCUUGAGUUCUGGAAGAAAAGCAUAGCAGAGAGUGACAAAGUUCUUUUCUUGAAGUAUGAGGAGAUGAUGGCCGAACCGGUCAAGCACGUCAAGAUGCUCGCCAAGUUCCUCGGUGUCCCCUUCACCGAGGAGGAGGUGAGAUGUGGAGUUGUAGAGGGUGUUGUGCACCUGUGUAGCUUCGAUAAGCUCAGGAGCAUGCCGGUCAACUCAUCGGGAGUAACUGAUAGGAUUGGUGGGGUGCCAAUGGAGAACUCUUCCUACUUUAGGGCCGGGAAGAUCGGUGACUGGGCAAACCACUUGACGGAAGAGAUGUCAAAGAAGCUGGAUGCCAUUGUUGAGGAGAAGCUGAGAGGAUCAGGUCUCACAUUUUGA